GACGAACGCUGGCGGCGUGCCUAACACAUGCAAGUCGAACGGAAAGGCCUCUUUCGGGGGGUACUCGAGUGGCGAACGGGUGAGUAACACGUGAGUAACCUGCCCUUGACUUUGGGAUAACUUCAGGAAACUGGGGCUAAUACCGGAUAGGAGCUCCUGCUGCAUGGUGGGGGUUGGAAAGUUUCGGCGGUUGGGGAUGGACUCGCGGCUUAUCAGCUUGUUGGUGGGGUAGUGGCUUACCAAGGCUUUGACGGGUAGCCGGCCUGAGAGGGUGACCGGCCACAUUGGGACUGAGAUACGGCCCAGACUCCUACGGGAGGCAGCAGUGGGGAAGAUUGCACAAUGGGUGGAAGCCUGAUGCAGCAACGCCGUGUGCGGGAUGACGGCCUUCGGGUUGUAAACCGCUUUCGCUCAUGACGAAGCUUUGUGUGACGGUAGUGGGUAAAGAAGCACCGGCUAACUACGUG
RNAcentral lists this ribosomal RNA (467 nucleotides) under uncultured bacterium. RNAcentral describes it as "partial 16S ribosomal RNA". It matches the Rfam family "Bacterial small subunit ribosomal RNA", at positions 28 to 507 of the family's 1533-position model. The record is from RNAcentral.